CACGUAGGCAGCGAGCGUUGUUCGGAUUUACUGGGCGUAAAGGGUGUGUAGGCGGUUGUUUAAGUUUGGUGUGAAAUCUCCCGGCUCAACUGGGAGGGUGCGCCGAAUACUGAAUGACUUGGAGUGCGGGAGAGGAAAGUGGAAUUCCUGGUGUAGCGGUGAAAUGCGUAGAUAUCAGGAGGAACACCGGUGGUGUAGACGGCUUUCUGGACCGUAACUGACGCUGAGACACGAAAGCGUGGGUAGCAAACAGG
RNAcentral lists this ribosomal RNA (254 nucleotides) under uncultured bacterium. RNAcentral's name for it is "partial 16S ribosomal RNA". It matches the Rfam family "Bacterial small subunit ribosomal RNA", at positions 524 to 776 of the family's 1533-position model. The record is from RNAcentral.